This 62-nucleotide transfer RNA is filed under the name Heterocephalus glaber (naked mole-rat). It matches the Rfam family "tRNA". From Rfam's summary of the family: Transfer RNA (tRNA) molecules are approximately 80 nucleotides in length. Their secondary structure includes four short double-helical elements and three loops (D, anti-codon, and T loops). Lineage: Eukaryota; Metazoa; Chordata; Mammalia; Rodentia; Bathyergidae. The record is from Rfam by way of RNAcentral.
GGGGAUGUGACUCAGUGGUAGAGCAUAUGCCUAAUAUGCAUAAGGCCUUAGAUUUAUCCCCA